AGGACUACCCGCUGAACUUAAGCAUAUCAAUAAGCGGAGGAAAAGAAACUAACAAGGAUUCCUUUAGUAACGGCGAGUGAACCGGGAAAAGCUCAAAUUUGUAAUCUGGCUGUCUUCGAUAGUCCGAGUUGUAAUCUAUAGACGUGUUUUCCGUGCUGGAUCGUAUCUAAGUCCCUUGGAACAGGGUAUCAAAGAGGGUGACAAUCCCGUGCUUGAUACGACGACCAGUGCUCUGUGAUACACGUUCUACGAGUCGAGUUGUUUGGGAAUGCAGCUCAAAAUGGGUGGUAAAUUCCAUCUAAAGCUAAAUAUUGGCGAGAGACCGAUAGCGAACAAGUACCGUGAGGGAAAGAUGAAAAGCACUUUGGAAAGAGAGUUAAACAGUACGUGAAAUUGUUGAAAGGGAAACGAUUGAAGUCAGUCGUGUUCUUCAGAUUCAGCUGGUUCUUCCAGUCUACUUCUGUUGAACGGGUCAACAUCAGUUUUGUCCGGUGGAUAAAGGUAGUAGGAAUGUGACUCCCCCGGGAGUGUUAUAGCCUAUUAUUGCAUACACUGGGUGAGACUGAGGACUGCAGCUCGCCUUUUGGCCG
Molecule: ribosomal RNA, 590 nt
Filed under: Cutaneotrichosporon jirovecii
Lineage: Eukaryota; Fungi; Basidiomycota; Tremellomycetes; Trichosporonales; Trichosporonaceae
Description: partial large subunit ribosomal RNA
Rfam family: Eukaryotic large subunit ribosomal RNA
Source: RNAcentral